This 929-nucleotide ribosomal RNA is filed under the name Anaerolineae bacterium. Its description in RNAcentral is "partial 23S ribosomal RNA". It matches the Rfam family "Bacterial large subunit ribosomal RNA", at positions 1998 to 2925 of the family's 2925-position model. Lineage: Bacteria; Bacillati; Chloroflexota; Anaerolineae. The record is from RNAcentral.
GGUGUAACGAGUGGAGCACUGUCUCAACGAGGGACCCGGCGAAAUUGAAGUACGUGUAAAGAUGCGCGUUACCCGCAGCAGGACAAAAAGACCCCGUGGAGCUUUACUGUAGCCUGUCAUUGCGUUAGGGCGUGGCCUGUGUAGGAUAGCUGGGAGGCAGGGAACUCUGGGCGCUAGCCUGGGGGGAGCCAAUGUUGAAAUACCAGCCUGGUGGCGCUUUGGCCCUAACCGACACUUGUGAAGCCAGGUGGGGGACAGUGGCAGGUAGGCAGUUUGACUGGGGCGGUCGCCUCCUAAAGAGUAACGGAGGCGCCCAAAGGUUGGCUCAGGCUGAAUGGAAACCAGCCAAAGAGUGUAAAGGCACAAGCCAGCUUGACUGCGAGACGGACGAGUCGAGCAGAGACGAAAGUCGGGCUUAGUGAUCCCACGGUGCUGAGUGGAAGGGCCGUGGCUUACCGGAUAAAAGCUACCCCGGGGAUAACAGGCUAGUCUUCUCCAAGAGCUCACAUCGACGAGAAGGCUCGGCACCUCGAUGUCGGCUCAUCGCAUCCUGGGGCUGAAUAAGGUCCCAAGGGUUGGGCUGUUCGCCCAUUAAAGCGGUACGCGAGCUGGGUUCAGACCGUCGUGAGACAGGUCGGUCUCUAUCCGCUGUGGGCGUUGGGAGUUUGCGGGGAGCUGCCCCUAGUACGAGAGGACCGGGGUGGACGCAGCGCUCGUGUGCCGGUUGUGUCGCCAGAUGCAUUGCCGGGUAGCGAGCUGCGGAUGGGAUAACCGCUGAAAGCAUCUAAGUGGGAAGCCCACCCCAAGAUGAGACUCCCCAUCCCUAAAAGGGAGUAAGACCGCUGGCAGACCACCAGUUGGAUAGGCCGGGAGUGGAAGCGCAGCAAUGUGUGGAGCUGACCGGUACUAAUGGUCGAGGGCUUAACCCG